UGGGGAAUAUUGGACAAUGGGCGCAAGCCUGAUCCAGCCAUGCCGCGUGAGUGAUGAAGGCCUUAGGGUUGUAAAGCUCUUUCGCCGAGGACGAUAAUGACGGUACUCGGAUAAGAAGCCCCGGCUAACUUCGUGCCAGCAGCCGCGGUAAUACGAAGGGGGCUAGCGUUGUUCGGAAUUACUGGGCGUAAAGCGUAUGCAGGCGGAUCUUUAAGUCAGGGGUGAAAUCCUGAGGCUCAACCUCAGAACUGCCUUUGAUACUGGAGAUCUUGAGUCCGGGAGAGGUUAGUGGAACUGCGAGUGUAGAGGUGAAAUUCGUAGAUAUUCGCAAGAACACCAGUGGCGAAGGCGGCUAACUGGCCCGGUACUGACGCUGAGAUACGAAAGCGUGGGGAGCAAACAG
This 403-nucleotide ribosomal RNA is filed under the name uncultured bacterium. Its description in RNAcentral is "bacterial SSU rRNA". It matches the Rfam family "Bacterial small subunit ribosomal RNA", at positions 355 to 775 of the family's 1533-position model. The record is from RNAcentral.